This is a small nuclear RNA of Callithrix jacchus (white-tufted-ear marmoset), 107 nucleotides long. NCBI's taxonomy places the organism in Eukaryota, Metazoa, Chordata, Mammalia, Primates, Cebidae. The record is from Ensembl.
GUGCUUGCUUUGGCAGCACACAUACUAAAAUUGGGACGAUACAGAGAAGAUUAGCAUGGCCCUUGCACAAGGAUGAUAUGCAAAUUAAUAAAGCAUUCCAUAAAAAU